GACGAACGCUGGCGGCGUGCCUAAUACAUGCAAGUAGAACGCACAGUUUAUACCGUAGCUUGCUACACCAUAGACUGUGAGUUGCGAACGGGUGAGUAACGCGUACGUAACCUGCCUGGUAGCGGGGGAUAACUAUUGGAAACGAUAGCUAAUACCGCAUAAUAUUAAUUAUUGCAUGAUAAUUAAUUGAAAGGUGCAAUUGCACCACUACCAGAUGGACCUGGGUUGUAUUAGCUAGUAGGUGAGGUAACGGCUCACCUAGGCGACGAUACAUAGCCGACCUGAGAGGGGGAUAGGCCAAGCUGGGACUGAGACACGGCCCAGAAUCCUACGGGAGGCAGCAGUAGGGAAUCUUUGGCAAUGGACGAAAGUCUGACCGAGCCACGCCGCGUGAGUGAAGAAGGUUUUCGGAUCGUAAAGCGCUGUUGUAAGAGAAGAACGGGAGUGAGAGUGGAAAGUUCACACUGUGACGGUAUCUUACCAGAAAGGGACGGCUAACUACGUG
This 505-nucleotide ribosomal RNA is filed under the name uncultured bacterium. RNAcentral describes it as "partial 16S ribosomal RNA". It matches the Rfam family "Bacterial small subunit ribosomal RNA", at positions 28 to 507 of the family's 1533-position model. The record is from RNAcentral.